CGGAGCUGUUCCUAUUCGGACAUCUUGGCUCCUCCCCAAGAGUUCUGGAGUCUGAGAAGUCAAGGAUCGGGGUGCUGGCCUAUUCAGUUCCUGGUAAGGGCUGUCUUCCUGGCUUGCAGUUGAACUACUUCUUGCUGUGUCUUCACAAGCAUGCCCCCAUCCUGUGCCGAUAAGAACUCCAGACCCCAAACUCAGCUCAUACACACACGGAAGAGAGAAGCAUCUGAACAUCAAGAAGAGAAGAAGCUGCUGGACAUCAGAAACUGUGAAAGGAGAGGAGUUUGGCUGAGCUCCAGGGGAAGACUGCCUGCACAUUCUAUCCCCUUUUCAGUUCCCCAUCCUGCUGUCAGCCACAUUUACCACUCAAUAAAAUCUUCACAUUCACCAUCCUUCAAGUCCGUGUGACCUCAUUCCUCUUGGGCACUGGACAAGGACCCAGUUGCGGGUGCAGUAGGCUGUCACACUGACUCUCCACUGAGCUGUUUAACACUUAAGUUGUCUGUAGACAGCAAAGCUAAAACAGCACACUGUAACACAUGCCCUCUGGGGCUCUAGAGGCUGUGGACAGCCCCUAGACGCUGCUGUGGGCUGGUAAGGAGUUUAUUCCUGCUGGUGCCCAAAGGCACUCACCCCAGCUCCUGCACCCACUCACCUACAUCUUCCCCCUCUUUCAAGGGGUUUGAGCACUGCAGGCUGAGUAAGCGAGCCAGCGCUUCACAAGCCCCAUGGGGUCAAGGGAACCCAUCUCACUACCCUAGCUCC
RNAcentral lists this long non-coding RNA (762 nucleotides) under Homo sapiens (human). RNAcentral's name for it is "HSALNT0369113". The record is from RNAcentral. Lineage: Eukaryota; Metazoa; Chordata; Mammalia; Primates; Hominidae.